CCUACGGGGGGCAGCAGUGAGGAAUAUUGGUCAAUGGACGCAAGCCUGAACCAGCCAUGCCGCGUGCAGGAAGACGGCCCUAUGAGUUGUAAACUGCUUUUGUACGAGGGUAAACGCAGAUACGCGUAUCUGUCUGAAAGUAUCGUACGAAUAAGGAUCGGCUAACUCCGUGCCCGCAGCCGCGGUAAUACGGAGGAUUCAAGCGUUAUCCGGAUUUAUUGGGUUUAAAGGGUGCGUAGGCGGGCGGAUUAGUUAGAGGGGAAAUCCCGAGGGUCAACCUCGGCAUUGCCUCUGAUACUGGUCGGCUAGAGAGUAGUAGCGGUAGGCGGAAUGUGUGGUGUAGCGGUGAAAUGCUUAGAGAUCAUGCAGAACACCGAUUGCGAAGGCAGCUUACCAGGCUACUUCUGACGUUGAGGCACGAAAGCGUGGGGAGCAAACAGGAUUAGAUACCCGAGUAGUC
This 460-nucleotide ribosomal RNA is filed under the name uncultured bacterium. RNAcentral's name for it is "partial 16S ribosomal RNA". It matches the Rfam family "Bacterial small subunit ribosomal RNA", at positions 338 to 795 of the family's 1533-position model. The record is from RNAcentral.